Long non-coding RNA from Hyla sarda, 297 nucleotides. RefSeq lists it as uncharacterized. The transcript is spliced from 3 exons. Lineage: Eukaryota; Metazoa; Chordata; Amphibia; Anura; Hylidae. The record is from RefSeq and is a predicted model, not a curated record.
GCAACUCUUCCACUAGACAGUGUUUCAGAUUUUGUUGAAGAAGGCUCCAAAUGUCGCAAACCAUGGCAGCAAAAAUCCCACACAUGUGCAUGUUCAACAAAAUGCUCAUAGUCCACACAACUUUUUGAUGAAUUUAGCCCACGUACACAAAACCUCAGGAUUUAAAAGACUGUCUGAGAAAUACAGAUGUACUGGAGGAAGUGUGCUGUUUCCUGGGAGUAAUUCUCCCAUUCUUGGAUCAUUGUUUCCUUAUUGAUUUAGAUAGCUCUGCUAAUAAUAAGGCAAGUAGAUUAUUAU